RNAcentral lists this ribosomal RNA (466 nucleotides) under uncultured bacterium. RNAcentral's name for it is "bacterial SSU rRNA". It matches the Rfam family "Bacterial small subunit ribosomal RNA", at positions 330 to 795 of the family's 1533-position model. The record is from RNAcentral.
GCCAGACUCCUACGGGAGGCAGCAGUGAGGAAUAUUGGUCAAUGGGCGGGAGCCUGAACCAGCCAAGUCGCGUGAGGGAUGACGGCCCUACGGGUUGUAAACCUCUUUUGCCGGGGAGCAAAGAGCGGGACGCGUCCCGCCUCGAGAGUACCCGGAGAAAAAGCAUCGGCUAACUCCGUGCCAGCAGCCGCGGUAAUACGGAGGAUGCGAGCGUUAUCCGGAUUUAUUGGGUUUAAAGGGUGCGCAGGCGGAAGCGCAAGUCAGCGGUAAAAUGUCCGGGCUCAACCCGGGCCGGCCGUUGAAACUGGGGAUCUUGAGUGGGCGAGAAGUAUGCGGAAUGCGUGGUGUAGCGGUGAAAUGCAUAGAUAUCACGCAGAACUCCGAUUGCGAAGGCAGCAUACCGGCGCCCGACUGACGCUGAGGCACGAAAGCGUGGGGAUCGAACAGGAUUAGAUACCCCCGUAAC